This is a non-coding RNA of Oncorhynchus mykiss (rainbow trout), 1395 nucleotides long. The record is from RefSeq and is a predicted model, not a curated record. NCBI's taxonomy places the organism in Eukaryota, Metazoa, Chordata, Actinopteri, Salmoniformes, Salmonidae.
GGUCAGCCCCAUGAUAGAGCCUAUACUGUUAGACUGUCAUGGGGCUGAGGUGCAUGCUACUUUUUCCCAUUUGUUUUCACAGGUGCAGCUGCAGAUGUUUGUCUGUCAAGCUGAUUUUAUCACCUGGACUCCCCAGCAAAGUUUCAUUUUCCGUGUCCCAUGAUAUGAGGAUUUUAUCAUUAAGGCAGUGGACACCAUCAGCAGAUUCUGUGCAAGGCACAUUUACCCGUGGCUUGUUGGAACUUCAGCACAAGAGAUGGACAAGGAGGUUCAGAUUACAGCCGGUAGCAACAAGAAGAAGCGCUACAAUGUGCGUGGACCCAAGAAAGACAGGAAGACACAGUACACAUGCAUCAAGUGCAAGAAAUACAUUUGCAACACACACGCAGCAAAACUCUGUUCCUCGUGUGGUGUAGACCAGCCUUAAUUUGUUUUCAAUGGGUCUCAUUUAUAAUUUCCAUAAAAUACUGUAUGUAAAAUUUGUCCAAUUUGUUCAGUUCAAAGCAAUAAACAUCAUAGUGAUAAAAACCUUGUUUCAUUUAUAUGUGUUCAAGAUAAACAUGAUUAUUCCACCCAUGUCUUGAUUAUAAAUUAUUUUUAACAAAAAAAUCUAAUUUUAUAAAACGAAUAGCGCUUUUAUUGACAAAUGUGAUCUAGCAGAGGUAAAUGGCAAAUAUUAACCAUGUAUGCUGUCUAUACUGCCUGUAAUUGAUAUAAGUCAACAUCUAAGUAUUCAUUAAGUAUUUUUAUGUCAAUUGAAAUGGCUGUAUUUUUUUUUAAACAAUAAUGUUGUGGGUCCAUCAGACCCGCAACCAUUGGGUGAAUAACAAAAACAUGAACACCACACAAGGGUUAAGUAUAUUUUAACAAUUACAUUUCCUUCCGAUACUAAAGUAUAUUUAAAACCAAAUACUUUUACUCAAGUAGUAUUUUACUGGGUGACUCACUUUUACUACACACAUCACAUUAAAGUACUGACUGCAACUCACAUUUUCUUGUGUGGUUACUUUGCCUAACGAUUGAAUGUUGCCUUAACUCUCCUUCCCUCAGACCAGCAGCAUUUCAGGACAGGCAUACAAACAGAAAGUGAGACGUCACCUUCCGUUCCUUGCCUCUGACCUCCAACCUUCAGCAGUCAAGAGCAGUUGACAGUUUACAAGGCCAUGUCCUACAGCAUUCUGCUCCCCAUCACCCAGCCCCCCCAUCCCAGAGCUUCUGAAGGACCAUCAGCACAGGUCACAAGGGCAGACACUACCACCAAGCAGAAGAUGAACAAUAAGCGCUGGCCCCACUCACACUACAUGGCUGCUCCUUCACAACCAGCAACUACAAGGUGCUAAUAUCACCCUCGCUGAAUACACUAUCCUCAGAAAUAAAAGGAGUCAAACUGGAACU